This 497-nucleotide ribosomal RNA is filed under the name uncultured bacterium. RNAcentral describes it as "partial 16S ribosomal RNA". It matches the Rfam family "Bacterial small subunit ribosomal RNA", at positions 28 to 507 of the family's 1533-position model. The record is from RNAcentral.
GAUGAACGCUGGCGGCGUGCCUAAUACAUGCAAGUCGAGCGAACAGACGAGGAGCUUGCUCCUCUGACGUUAGCGGCGGACGGGUGAGUAACACGUGGAUAACCUACCUAUAAGACUGGGAUAACUUCGGGAAACCGGAGCUAAUACCGGAUAAUAUAUUGAACCGCAUGGUUCAAUAGUGAAAGACGGUUUUGCUGUCACUUAUAGAUGGAUCCGCGCCGCAUUAGCUAGUUGGUAAGGUAACGGCUUACCAAGGCAACGAUGCGUAGCCGACCUGAGAGGGUGAUCGGCCACACUGGAACUGAGACACGGUCCAGACUCCUACGGGAGGCAGCAGUAGGGAAUAUUCCGCAAUGGGCGAAAGCCUGACGGAGCAACGCCGCGUGAGUGAUGAAGGUCUUCGGAUCGUAAAACUCUGUUAUUAGGGAAGAACAAAUGUGUAAGUAAAUAUGCACGUCUUGACGGUACCUAAUCAGAAAGCAACGGCUAACUACGUG